Molecule: ribosomal RNA, 252 nt
Filed under: uncultured Bacteroidales bacterium
Lineage: Bacteria; Pseudomonadati; Bacteroidota; Bacteroidia; Bacteroidales
Description: partial 16S ribosomal RNA
Rfam family: Bacterial small subunit ribosomal RNA
Source: RNAcentral
UACGGAGGAUGCGAGCGUUAUCCGGAUUUAUUGGGUUUAAAGGGUGCGCAGGCGGUCUGUUAAGUCAGCGGUCAAAGCCCGGGGCUCAACCCCGGCCCGCCGUUGAAACUGGCAGUCUCGAGUUGGAGAGAAGUAUGCGGAAUGCGCGGUGUAGCGGUGAAAUGCAUAGAUAUUGCGCAGAACUCCGAUUGCGAAGGCAGCAUACCGGCGGCGAUCUGACGCUGAGGCUCGAAAGCAUGGGUAGCGAACAGG